Molecule: ribosomal RNA, 640 nt
Filed under: uncultured bacterium
Lineage: Bacteria
Description: bacterial SSU rRNA
Rfam family: Bacterial small subunit ribosomal RNA
Source: RNAcentral
AGAGUUUGAUCCUGGCUCAGGACGAACGCUGGCGGUGUGCUUCACACAUGCAAGUCGAACGGUAGCAAUACAGUGGCGGACGGGUGAGUAACACGUGGGAAUCUGCCUUUAGAUGGGGGAUAACUAGCCGAAAGGUUAGCUAAUACCGCAUAUGCCGAAAGGUGAAAGGAGCAAUCCACCUGAAGAUGAGCCUGCGUCCGAUUAGCUAGUUGGUAGGGUAAAAGCCUACCAAGGCGACGAUCGGUAGCUGGUCUGAGAGGAUGAUCAGCCACAAUGGAACUGAGACACGGUCCAUACUCCUACGGGAGGCAGCAGUGGGGAAUUUUACGCAAUGGGCGAAAGCCUGACGUAGCGACACCGCGUGAGCGACGAAGCCCUUUGGGGUGUAAAGCUCUGUCGGCUGGAACGAAAAAAAUGACGGUACCAGCAAAGGAAGCAUCGGCUAACUACGUGCCAGCAGCCGCGGUAAGACGUAGGAUGCAAGCAUUGUCCGGAUUUAUUGGGCGUAAAGAGUUCGUAGGUGGUUUGUUAAGUCUGAUGUUAAAGACCGGAGCUCAACUUCGGAACUGCAUUGGAUACUGGCAGACUAGAGUAUGGUAGAGGCAAGCGGAAUUCCCAGUGUAGCGGUGAAAUGCGUAGA